UAAGAUCGAAGCAAAACUCCACAGUUGCCACUUCACUCGUUGCAAUGCAAUUAGAAAAUCACACACACGCAUACACUCGUGCCUGCAUAUGUUUCCUGUGCCUUCGAAAGAUAUUUUUCUCUACUUUUACUAGACUUUGAAUCCAGCAUGGUAACAUUGAAAGGCUGACGAUGUUUUGACCGGCUUCGUGUUGGAGCUGGCUCCAGGCAACUUCAUGGGACUAUCACCCUCCCCAGGGAUGCCAGCCCCACCAGGAAGAGGAUUCCACAAGGUCCAGAGUUUCCUGAGGCUGGACCUGACUGACGGAGCAGGAGCAGCUCUUGCCCACCGCCCACCCCUUGGCCACCACAGAAAGACAAUGUGAGGACACAGCUAUAAGGCAGCCAUCUACAAACCAAGAAGAAAAUCCUCACCAGAACCCGGAUCUGACAGCAUCUUGAUCUUGGACUUCCAGCCUCCAAAACCA
This 466-nucleotide long non-coding RNA is filed under the name Equus caballus (horse). RNAcentral's name for it is "lncRNA (ENSECAG00000056407.1)". The record is from RNAcentral. Lineage: Eukaryota; Metazoa; Chordata; Mammalia; Perissodactyla; Equidae.